This 87-nucleotide transfer RNA is filed under the name Chroogloeocystis siderophila 5.2 s.c.1. RNAcentral describes it as "tRNA-Ser". It matches the Rfam family "tRNA". From Rfam's summary of the family: Transfer RNA (tRNA) molecules are approximately 80 nucleotides in length. Their secondary structure includes four short double-helical elements and three loops (D, anti-codon, and T loops). Lineage: Bacteria; Bacillati; Cyanobacteriota; Cyanophyceae; Chroococcidiopsidales; Chroococcidiopsidaceae. The record is from RNAcentral.
GGAGAGGUGGCCGAGUGGUUGAAGGCGCAGCACUGGAAAUGCUGUAAUAAGGCAACUUAUUCGAGGGUUCGAAUCCCUCCCUCUCCG